AUGGCCACCCCCAGCCCGGUCCCGGCCCCACACCGUGGGCCCCAGCUCCCCGGGGUGCGCCGUCGGCAGCAUGGUGGUGUCCGCUCUGACCUUGGCGAGGGGCAGCGGGUCACACCCGGGUGGAUCCCGGCCUCCUGUCCGUGUCCCACAAGCGCCUUUCACUGUGCUAUGCCUCAGUUUCCCCAGCAGAGAAGUAGGGGCACGGCCAGGCUGGUUCUCAGCGUCCUUCCUCCCCCCUGGGCUGUCGGUGCCACUGCAGGCAGGCUGGGGGGGGGGCGGGGGCGGGGGAUGGGACUGCGGGGACGCCGGCAGGAGCUGGCUCUGUGCCGCAGCCGCAGCCAGCAGCGCAGUGCCCGUCCGCCCACCCGGGAGCUCCGUGCCUGGAGUCCCGAUGCGUGCGUGGGCGGGAAGGAGAGCCCCAGGGGCUGGCCCUGCCUGCUGCUGCCCUCCCCCCUCGCUGCUGGUCUCCCGCACCUGCCCUGCCCCUCUCCUAGCAAAGAGUGGGAGGGUACUGAGAGGCAGAAAGGGUGGUGUGCAGAGCGGGGUUCUCUAAGUCGGGGGGAAUCUCACUGCGUAGCAGGGCUGGUCCCCGUCACACAGGGCUCCAGGGCAGGACAGGGCCUCCCCACUCAGGCAGGGCUCAGAGCCACGCUGUGGGGUCCCAGGUUUCGGCCCAGCACGGGGUCUGUCUGUGUCUGUUCAGGGGCCGGUUCCUCCCGUGUGGGCACGUGUGAGCUCUCUCACCCCUUCCUCUUUCUUUUCCCAGCAAUGCGGGGGCCUCCUGCACUGGCGCCGCCUGGGCCUGGUCCAGGUGCCCCUGCCCGCGACAGCCACAGUGGGCACGCCCUGGCCCGGUCCAGGGUGGCCUCAGCAGGCCGUCUGGCAGAGCCGCUGCCCGGUGGCCUCCCUGAGCCCCUCACGCCCCGGGGAAGCUGCGGCCGCUGCCAGACGGAGCCGGCCUGCUGCGGGGGCUCUGUGAGGACCCCAAGAGCCGUCCCUCCAGGGCCGCGGCUGGGGGUGCUGGCCAGAGGUGGGGAGCUGGCCCGCAGCCGGAUCACACACCUGCCAUCCUUUGGAAGGGGUGAGGUGGGGGGGGGCGUUAGUGGGCAGAGAGGGCGGGGGUCCUGUCCGGAAGAGCCAGCUCCUGCACCCGGGGGACAGUGCCCAGCGGGUCGGUCGGUGGUGGCCGGGCGGACGCCUGGGCGGGGACACGGCGGCACCUUUCCCUCCCGGCCGGCCACACAGGAGCUCUGCCCGGUCUUCUACAGGAUACUCUGGCCAGGAGUCACCUUCUCCUGGGUUCAGGGCCGGGCUUUGUUCCCAGGGGCCCACGCCGCAGCUCCAAGACUCAGCCCGGCCCGCCUCCCCCGCCCCCGCAGCAGAGCGGAGGCUAAGGACACCCAUUGCCUGGCCGUGUCUGAGGCCCAGCCAGCCGCCGGCCGUUAG
This 1446-nucleotide long non-coding RNA is filed under the name Oryctolagus cuniculus (rabbit). RNAcentral describes it as "lncRNA (ENSOCUG00000030100.1)". The record is from RNAcentral. Lineage: Eukaryota; Metazoa; Chordata; Mammalia; Lagomorpha; Leporidae.